CACCUCAAAAGAGUCAAUUCUGA
This 23-nucleotide small nuclear RNA is filed under the name Arabidopsis thaliana (thale cress). RNAcentral describes it as "snRNA_12549". Lineage: Eukaryota; Viridiplantae; Streptophyta; Magnoliopsida; Brassicales; Brassicaceae. The record is from RNAcentral.